RNAcentral lists this ribosomal RNA (253 nucleotides) under uncultured bacterium. Its description in RNAcentral is "partial 16S ribosomal RNA". It matches the Rfam family "Bacterial small subunit ribosomal RNA", at positions 524 to 776 of the family's 1533-position model. The record is from RNAcentral.
CACGUAGGGUGCGAGCGUUGUCCGGAUUUACUGGGCGUAAAGGGCGUGUAGGCGGUGCGUUUUGUCCGUGGUGAAAGCCCCCGGCUCAACCGGGGAGGGUCCGCGGAGACGGGCGCACUGGAGGUCGCGAGAGGUGGGUGGAAUUCCCGGUGUAGUGGUGAAAUGCGUAGAGAUCGGGAGGAACACCGGUGGCGAAGGCGGCCCACUGGCGCGAUGCUGACGCUGAGGCGCGAAGGCGCGGGGAGCGAACGGG